RNAcentral lists this long non-coding RNA (3162 nucleotides) under Mytilus galloprovincialis (Mediterranean mussel). Lineage: Eukaryota; Metazoa; Mollusca; Bivalvia; Mytilida; Mytilidae. The record is from RNAcentral.
AUAUCGCUUCGGUCAAAAUAGGACAAAUCAUGCGAAGGAUAUAACGAGCAAUUUUGUAAAAUAAAUUUGUCAUAAUCUUUUACGGUUGCGAAGGAGAUGCGCUAACAAGGAAAACAGUGUUUGGGGAGAUAACUCCUACAAAGAAAAGUAUUCGUUUACGCAGGGUAAAUUUCAAAAGUGCAUAAACUGUUCGAUAUCAUAUACCAAAUAUCUAAGCGACAUAUUGCGAAACAAAUGUUUAUCGCAAGAACAAAAUUAGGCGGAAGAAAAAAAAAAAAAAAUAAUCAGAAGAAAAACAAUAGGUCUUUCCACAGAAAAGUGGAAAGACCUAAUAAUCAGAAGAAAAACAAUAGGUCUUUCCACAGAAAAGUGGAAAGACCUAAUUAAAAACCAAUUGUUCAGAGAACAAUUGAAUGUCUUUCCACCAGUUAAUAUCUAUUUUGAUAUUAAAAUAUAAAAAAAUCAGUCUAAAAUGUCAGUUCAUAUGGCUUUAUGAUGUAUAGAUAUGAAUUUAAAGCAAAGGUCAAAAUCUAGAACGUCAAAUUAACCUAUGACCUUCACCUCAAUUUCAAGGUCACAAACUGAGGAUUUCAAAUCAAAAGACCCUAGUCUCUAAUAUGUAUGGUUAAUAAGUUAUAUCACUUUAAACAUAAUUUAAGAUAUGAUAGGGGCUAAAACUCCCAUUCAUUGUUUACGCACCCUUUCAACUAAACUUAUUUAGUUACAACAUGUCGCAACUAACAAUUUAUACAAAAUAAUUUGUCGAUAUCUUAUAAGGUUAAUGAAAAUGAGUGAAAAUAAGACAAAUUCAAAAAUUAGAAUAUGACCUUGACCUUUGACCUUGACCUAAUUUUCAUUUUUUUGGACCAAGGACCUUAAAUCAAAAGAUCCUAGGUCUCUAUCACUUAUGGUGUUCCAGUUUAAAAUACAUUUUAAAAUUUCAAAUACAAAAAGGGAAAUAACUCUCGUAUGGAACGUUCAUAUUGCUUCGGUCGAAAUUGGACAAAUCAUGCAAAGGAUAUAACGAGCAAUUUUAUAAAAUAAAUUUGUCGUAAUCUUUUACGGUUGCGAAGGAGUUGUGAGCACAAAGAAAACAGUGUUUGGGGAGAUAACUCCUACAAAGAAAAGUAUUCGGUUACGCAGGGUAAAUUUCAAAAGCGCAUAAACUGUUCGAUAUCAUAUACCAAAUAUCUAAGCGACAUAUUGCGAAACAAAUGUUUAUUGCAAGAACAAAAUUUGGCGGAAGAAAAAAAAAAAAUAAUCAGAAGAAAAACAAUAGGUCUUUCCACAGAAAAGUGGAAAGACCUAAUUAAAAACCAAUUGUUCAGAUAACAAUUGAAGGUCUUUCCACCAGUUAAUAUCUAUUUUGAUAUUAAAAUAUAAAAAUCAGUCUAAAAUGUCAGUUCAUAUGGCUUUAUGAUGUAUAGAUAUGAAUUUAAAGCAAAGGUCAAAAUCUAGAACGUCAAAUUAACCUAUGACCUUCACCUCAAUUUCAAGGUCACAAACUGAGGAUUUCAAAUCAAAAGACCCUUGUCUCUAAUAUGUAUGGUUAAUAAGUUAUAUCACUUUAAACAUAAUUUAAGAUAUGAUAGGGGCUAAAACUCCCAUUCAUUGUUUACACACCCUUUCAACUAAACUUAUUUAGUUACAACAUGUCGCAACUAACAAUUUAUACAAAAUAAUUUGUCGAUAUCUUAUAAGGUUAAUGAAAAUUAGUGAAAAUAAGACAAAUUCAAAAAUAAGAAUAUGACCUUGACCUUUGACCUUGACCUAAUUUUCAUUUUUUUGGACCAAGGACCUCAAAUCAAAAGAUCCUAGGUCUCUAUCACUUAUGGUGUCCAGUUUAAAAUACAUUUUAAAAUUUCAAAUACAAAAAGGGAAAUAACUCUCAUAUGGAGCGUUCAUAUUGCUUCGGUCGAAAUUGGACAAAUCAUGCAAAGGAUAUAACGAGCAAUUUUAUAUAAUAAAUUUGUCGUAAUCUUUUACGGUUGCGAAAGAGUUGUGAGCACAAAGAAAACAGUGUUUGGGGAGAUAACUCCUACAAAGAAAAGUAUUGGGUUACGUAAAUUUCAAAAGCGCAUAAACUGUUCGAUAUCAUAUACCAAAUAUCUAUGCGACAUAUUGCGAAACAAAUGUUUAUCACAAGAACAAAAUUUGGCGGAAGAAAAAAAAAAUAAUCAGAAGAAAAACAAUAGGUCUUUCCACAGAAAAGUGGAAAGACCUAAUUAAAAACUAAUUGUUCAGAGAACAAUUGAAGGUCUUUCCACCAGUUAAUAUCUAUUUUGAUAUUAAAAUAUAAAAAAUCAGUCUAAAAUGUCAGUUCAUAUGGCUUUAUGAUGUAUAAAUAUGAAUUUAAAGCAAAGGUCAAAAUCUAGAACGUCAAAUUAACCUAUGACCUUGACCUCAAUCUCAAGGUCACAAAUUGCGGAUCUCAAAUCAAAAGACCCUAGGUCUCUAAUAUGUAUGGUUAAUAAGUUAUAUCACUUUACACAUAAUUUUAGAUAUGAUAGGGUCAAAAACUGCCAUUCAUUGUCUACGCACCCUUUUAACUAAAAUUAUUAAGUUACGACAUGUCGCAACUAACAAUUUAGUCAAAAUAAUUUGUUGAUAUCUUAUACGGUUUCUGGAAAUGAGUUGAAAUAAGCCUAAUUCAAAAAUUAGAAUAUGACCUUGACCUUUGACCUUGACCUAUUUUUCAUUUUUUUGGACCAAGGACCUCAAAUCAAAAGAUCCUAGGUCUCUAUCACUUAUGGUGUUCCAGUUUAAAAUACAUUUCAAAAUUUCAAAUACAAAAGGGGAAAUAACUCUCAUAUGGAGUCUUCAUAUUGCUUCGGUCCAAACUGGACAAAUCAUGCAAAGGAUAUAACGAGCAAUUUUAUAAAAUAAAUUUGUCGUAAUCUUUUACGGUUGCGAAGGAGUUGUGAUCACAAGGAAAACAGUGUUUGGAGAGAUAACUCCUACAAAGAAAACUAUUCGGCUACGCAAGGUAAAUUUCAAAAGCGCAUAAACUGUUCGAUAUCAUAUACCAAAUAUCUAAGCGACAUAUUGCGAAACAAAUGUUUAUCGCAAGAACAAAAUUUGGCGGAAGAAAAAAAAAAAAAUAAUCAGAAGAAAAACAAUAGGUCUUUCCACAGAAAAGUGGAAAGACCUAAUAAACAAACG